RNAcentral lists this long non-coding RNA (287 nucleotides) under Lathyrus oleraceus (garden pea). RNAcentral describes it as "Pisum sativum (pea) long non-coding RNA (PSAT_LNC038792)". Lineage: Eukaryota; Viridiplantae; Streptophyta; Magnoliopsida; Fabales; Fabaceae. The record is from RNAcentral.
UGGUUAGGUAGAAGCCAACACCGUCGCCGGCGACGGCCGCCGGUGCGGCGGCCCACGGUGGAAGGACGGUGAGCUAGAUUUUAGAGAGCGCGCGCAUGUGAAUGUUUUUGACUCUGUUGACUUGUCCAAGUCAACAGAGGUGAGUUGAUUGGGCUUAAAUGCCCGGGCCCAUGGAGAUUACUCUUUACACACCAAUUAUUACUAGUGAACCCCCAGAGAUUAGUGAUGAAUGUGGAAUUGGGCUUUGCCAAGCCCAUUAGCACCAUUUGCUAAUUCCCACGCGUUUU